This is a non-coding RNA of Gemmatimonadetes bacterium 13_1_40CM_3_69_22, 76 nucleotides long. Lineage: Bacteria; Pseudomonadati; Gemmatimonadota. The record is from Rfam.
GAAAGAAGUCGUGGUCAUUUGCCGCGUAUUGCCGCCACGUUAAACAAGGUGCUAAAAAGCGACCGCCCGCGGCAUU